Long non-coding RNA from Mustela lutreola (European mink), 523 nucleotides. RefSeq lists it as uncharacterized. The transcript has 3 exons. Lineage: Eukaryota; Metazoa; Chordata; Mammalia; Carnivora; Mustelidae. The record is from RefSeq and is a predicted model, not a curated record.
GGUAGUUGCCCGAAGGUGGGGGCAUCUGUGGAGUUAUUGCUUAAAGGAAACCAAGACCUGAUAAGACUGCAGUGAUAAGGACAGAGACGCUAGCGUGUGGUCCUGAAGGACCGCCAAAAGUGGAAACAGCUUUGCCUAAAGCCAUUUUAAGUAAGAUAUGUCCCACCUUCACAUCCCCAAACAGGAAAAGAAGUAGAUAAAGGAAUCACCAAGAAGAUGCUUGAACUCCAGCUACAACAGGAAUUUUACAUUCCUGGCAAAUACUUCAAGGUUCUUUCUUCCCUGAAACGAACCAUUUUCUAUGAAUCUGAUAGAAAACCGUGGCCUUUUUCUCCUCCUUGCUGGAGGCUGGCUAAUGAGUGCAGUGUGGCUUUUCUAAAGAAUUCUGAGUAACUGGUAGAAAUAAAAUACAAUGGAAAAUAUCACUGGAAUGAUAUCUACCAGAAUUAUACCAGGAACAUAAAUUUCUAUUCAUACAGCCCUCUCGUUUCAACGUGCAAAUUGGAAAAAAAUAAUAAACGUU